This 405-nucleotide ribosomal RNA is filed under the name Triticum aestivum (bread wheat). RNAcentral describes it as "partial small subunit ribosomal RNA". The record is from RNAcentral. Lineage: Eukaryota; Viridiplantae; Streptophyta; Magnoliopsida; Poales; Poaceae.
CAAAUCGCAUCGCCUCUCCAAGCAGAAGCUACGGCACUUCAAGUAGCUGCCCAAGUGAUUAAUACAAUCACAACAGGAGACACCAUCUUCUUCACGGAUAAUCAAGUUUUGGCCCAGGCUGCAGAAGCAAGAGAUAUCCUUAAAUGCCCUGGUCAUUGGGAGAUUAGAAGCCAACUGGCAAAUUUCUUUAGCUCUACUAGCAAGGCUCAGAUAAACGUUAGACACAUUCCCAGGGAGCUUAAUAGUAGGGCUCACAACAAUGCGGCUAGAUCAUACUUCUCUGAAUCAAAUACUAGUCCUACAAUGGUUUGUAAAAGUAGGUCCCACUCGGUUGAUCACUGUCCUAUGCUUCUGAAGCUAGGCAAUCUGAACAUCCGACAUUGUAAAACCAUGGUUGUAACUUGU